CUCUGUAAUACUUUGUGAGGGACAACAUUCAGAUAAUCGUAGCAGUGUUCUGCAAUCCUCUGUGAAGGACACACGUUCAGAAGACAGCAGGAGUGUUCUUGAAUCCUAUGUGGGGGACAAACACGCAGAACACAGCAGCAGCGUCCUGGAAUCAUAUGUGAGGGACAAACAUUCAGACCACAGCAGGAAUAUUCUGGAAUUCUAUGUGAGGGACAAACAUUGAGACACUU
This 230-nucleotide long non-coding RNA is filed under the name Homo sapiens (human). Its description in RNAcentral is "HSALNT0305891". The record is from RNAcentral. Lineage: Eukaryota; Metazoa; Chordata; Mammalia; Primates; Hominidae.